AGGCAAUGGCAUGGACGCACGACAUGUGCGUGAAUGGUCCGGCGAUUUCUCGCUUUCUGACCUUGCGGGUGCGUGGCUUCCUUUUCCCACUUGAUAUUUCGACAUGCAUGGAGAAAUUUGUGCUGGCCUGUUUUGGUAAGCAAUUAUUCUUGCAUUAAUUCUGAUUAUUGUUGUGAUUACGUGGCUAUUUACUUGCCUUAGCUAUGUCAUGUGUAUAUAUUGAGGGAGAGACGUCGUCCUUGUUACAGACUUUCUCCUCGCACUAGAACGUUGCACUACCCUCGUCUUCCACAUAUCACCGUCGACAUGCUAUCGGGGUUGGGAGAGAAGGAUCUUCGAAGCCUAUGUCCCCUUGUGUCCCUGCAUGAUGUUGGGUCGUAUGAGGUUUUUGGGAAGCGUCGUCGUGACUACUCGUUGUUCACCUGCUUCCUCUACACCGACGUCGUCAUCCUUGCUGAUCUGCUAUAUAUCUACUCUUGCGUUGUUCUAGCACCGACAACCCUACUGUAAGGAUGUUUAAGCGUAUAUUUAUUUUGUCACUAGCACUAGUAUAUGAACUACU
Molecule: long non-coding RNA, 562 nt
Filed under: Zea mays
Lineage: Eukaryota; Viridiplantae; Streptophyta; Magnoliopsida; Poales; Poaceae
Description: long non-coding RNA (ZMAY_LNC005684)
Source: RNAcentral